GAAAUAACAAAAUCUGAAUGAAAUACUUUAUUUCGACACACAAAUCUGGAUUAAUCGACCAGCGAAUGACCAGAGAAAGACAAAAACAUCUCGAACAAGAAACAUGAACAUUUGCCUACUGAAUAAAGUAUUAUAUGUGACGUUCCACGGAAAAGGUACCUUAUGGCGGCUGGCGCUUACGUCUCAUAGCGCCGCAAUAAUAUUGGAGCGGCGUUAAUAAUAGCGUUAGCGCCAACCGCUAUAUAUAGCAGUGUUGGGCAAAAAGUAAUUGAAUUAUUAAUUAACAAUUGCAAUUACAAAAUGUAAUUCCAACAAAUAAUUUCCAUUACAUGUGGAAAGUAAUUAAAAUUUUAAUUACUAAUUACAAUUGCAAAAUGUAAUUAGUAAUUAAAUUACUAAUUACAUUUUGUAAUUAAAAUUUUUAAUUUAAUUACUUUUUUGAAUUACAGUUACUUUUAUAGAAUGCAAGUUUGUGAUCAUCUUUAUUUCCAAAAUCAGAUGAACAUUUUGAAUGGUUUUAAAUUUCACUAAGCAACAUUGUCAAUGUUAACUUUGGUUGAUUUGGUUGGACUGUAGCUAAGGGAGGGCUGGGACUUACAAUUUUUUUCUGAUUAAGUGGUGUCAUUAUGAUACUAUUUUUAAAUGAUUGUAAUGUGUAGAUCACGUCAAAAUAAGCGUAUUUUACUAAAAUUUUUUUCUCUAAAAUAAAAAUGGCUGAGUUAGACGCCUCCAAAGAUUGAUAUUUUUAAAGGGAGCUGGGUCUUAGAAAAUUUUCAUCGCGAGUGGUGUCAUUAUGACAUAUAUUUUAAAUGAUUGUAACGUAUAGAACACGUUCAAAUAGGCCACUUUUACUAGAAAAACUUUUUUAUAAAAUUGAAAAUAGCGGACUGUAUCAAAGGGGGGCCGUUUCUGGGACUUAGAUUUUUUUUUUGAGAAAAUGAAUAAAACAGGGGUUUCAAAACAGUUCUUAAUAAAGUUUUAGAAAAAAGUUUUUCAAGUAAAAGUAGCUUAUUUUGACGUGUUCUAUAAGUUACAAUCAUUUAAAAUAUAUGUCAUAAUGACACCACUCGCGAUGAAAAUUUUCUAAGUCCCAGCUCCCUUUAAAAACACCAAUCUUUGGAGGCGUCUAACUCAGUCAUUUUUUAUUUUAGAGAAAAGUUUUUUCAGUAAAAGAUGCUUAUUUUGACGUGAUCUAGACAUUACAAUCAUUUAAAAAUAGUGUCAUAAUGACACCACUUUGUCAAAAAAAAUUCUAAGUCCCAGCCCCCUCUUUGCUACAGUCCAACCCGAAAGGCACCUUAGGUCGGCGCUUAUGUCAUUAUUAGCGGCGCCCCAAUACUAAUGCGGUGCUACGCGACGUAAGCGCCGACCGCCAUAUUCAACGUGGUUUGUCACAUAGUACCCUGUAAAGGUAUGAUUCCAGGGAUAAAAAAUAUGUUAUAAUGUUAUCCAGCGUAUAAUGGAAUUCAUAAAAGAUUUUCUUUAUAAUUACUCCAAGAAAAUUUGUUCAUAUUUGCAUAUUAUUAAAAAGGUAAAUGAAAAGUAAUUGAGUAAUUUAAUUACUAAUUAAUGUAAUUACAAUUGCAAAUUACACAGAAAAUUUAAUUACAUGUAAUUAAAUUUUAUGUAAUUCAAUUACAUUGUAAUUCAAUUACAUGUAAUUCAAUUAGUAAUUAAAUUACACGAGUAAUUAAUUACGCCCAACACUGAAUAUAUAGGUACCUUUACCUGUGGGACGUCACAUAUUAUUCCUACUUUGGUACUCGUAAUAAAUAAUACAAACGUUCUAAAGUGAUAAGGGUCUCAAUAUCACGAUAAAUCCACAAGAAUCUUUCAUUUUGGAAAUGGAAAAUUUCAAUUCCCAAUAUGAGAAGUUUCCGAAAUUAAAUUACAUAUGUGGAAAUUUCGCAAUUUUGGAAAGUUUACGACAUCACAUCAAUAGUUAACUUAACCCUUUAAACAUCUCAGGACAUGACAUCACAUCAAAAAUAACAGAAAUAAAAUGUCUUUACUUACUCUUGAUAUACGUUAGAUGGCUUGCUUUAGUACGAUCAUGGAAUUUAAUUUCAGUAUGUACCAUCGUACCUUGUCACUGCGACAAUAGUAUAAGGUCUCUAGCGACUUUUUCCACCACCAAGGUACGUUUAUGGUACUGAAAUCAAAUAAUCAGUAUUAUUUAUAACCUAUACUAUACAAUCGCAUUAAUGAAUAUCAAACUAGUACUAUUGCUUUGGUCAGAGCAUGGCAUCUAGAACGGAUAGCCUCAAAUAUAUGAGUAACGUGGUUUAAGCUAGUAGCCCUUAUUGCUUUGGCGUAUGGUGCAUAUUCGCUAAACAUAAUCAUUUCGCUACAAAAUUCUUACAUAUUAACACCGUCGCACCGCAGGAUUAUGUACCUUGCCUAUCCCUCGCUUUGAAACGAACACAAUUUACGAAAAUGUUCAUAAGUUUCUUAACAGCCGGCCUAGCCAAGGUUACAAUCGCUAUCGCUUCGACAACGAAAAGCAUUCUGUCUCUCUAUCACUCUUCCAUAUUAGCGCGACAGUGACAGUUGCGUUUCGAUUGCUACGGAGCGUAAGCGAUUGACAUCUUGGCUACGCUGCCAGAGACCAUGAAGAAUUAAAAGUAUCAAUCACUAAAUAUACAGUCAGUGCCCAUUCAUUGCUGUUUUCUGUAGGUAGCUUCACUUAGCACAUAUCUUAUAGCACGUAUAUGCGCCCAGUCGACUGGUGAGCGAUCAAAGGGUUAAAACAUGGCGAAGGAUUUAACCGAUUAAAAAAAUUCAGAGCUAAUGAUAACAAUACAAUAAUAAUUUAGGAUCAAGGGCAUCAAGGCGGAAACAGUGGCUCAGCUCGAACAGUGGAUCGGUCGCUCAAAUAUCGAUCUACACUGUAGCACCCUCGCAUUUUAGCAGAACUAUUGCUUGAUCAUUUGCAUUUAUUCGAUUACUGAAUGUUUCUGCUACAUUAGCAGGGAAGCAAAUAGCCUCUCGUGUUGAAAUUAGGUUCAGUGAGCGACUUCCAGCUGAGCCACUGUUCCUGCCUUGACCGUACGGCAAAAAGGUCCUCCUAUUAUAAUCGUAUUACAUGGGUAGGGUACCUUCGGCAGUUCGGCAAAUAAAGGCAUAAAAUAGUCGCAUUUUAUUAUUUCUAAUUUUUAUAAGUAAUGGCAAUUGAGCCAACGAUGCAUAAAAUCAAUAAAACACAUCUACGAAAUUUUGAUUUAACAUCAAUAUAAUAAAUAGGGGUGCAACAUUCAACUUGAAAUAUAAUAAUAUCAAUAUUAUUUCAAUAAUAUAAUAGGUGAAGCUCGAUCAAUGGUGAGCGGUGCUCAUUGAGCAUAUAAUCUUAGUUACAAUUUUAAUACUGAAAAUGUAUCGUUCUGAGGAAAAGGUACCCGACCAUUACUGUAUAGAAGCAUCGCCAAUGCAUGGCGAAUAAGCCGAGCCGGUCUGGGGUCUUUAUCUGCGAACGACACAUUGACGGAAAAGAGACAAAAUCUAAACGCGCCGAAUUAGUUAUUAGGCAUUGAAAAUGCAAUUAAAUAAGAAAAGUUAAUAAUACUAGCGUAUUAACUGUUUGAAAAAAAAAACUGAAGUUGAAUUUCAGUUAGCGACUUUCACUCAACUGUUAAACUCUACUAAUAUUUGAAACCGAUUUUUAUAUUAAUAACUGUUAUCAAUCAGAUAAAAGUCAAUAUUUAUUAAUAUUAGUGCUAUAGUUCGUUUUUUUAGCAUUAGAAAGAACUCCACAGAAGUAAGCGUACAGUUUCUAUCAGCCUCUUUAAUUCUUAAUAAUUAUUGAAUUAUCUAAUGUAGCACGGUCAAUACAUAUAAUUUACUUCAAUUUAUUACCGUUAAAAGUGCCGGAUUUGGAACCACAAGCUUACUUCUGCGAAGUUCUUUCUAAUGCUAAAAAAAACGAACUAUACUUAGUUAACACUUUCAGUGCCAAGAACCCGCUAGUCGGGUCCCCGGGAUGUCCUUUCGGGACGUCACCGGCGUCAACCCCAAGGAUAAGAUAGAUAUAGCUCUAAAUUCCUAAAAUAAAUCACAAAAAAUACCGCUAGUCGGGUUCAUUUUGUAUUGAAAAUGGACGCUUGGUACUGAAAGUGUUAACUGUCGAAUUUAUAUAUAUGCUCAUGGACAAUUUUAGAGGAAGGCAAGAAAAGUUUAAUUACUGGAUUACAGCACUUAAAGUAAUUUCAAAAUUAUUAAUUAAACUUUUUUUUGCGUUCCUCUAAAUUUGUCCAUGAGUGUAGUUCAUUAAUUAUGGAAAUAACACUUUUAUUCGGUUAAAUUCCGCUAUUGCAUACUCAUAAAACAAUCUGUAUUCUUAUCAAAGUUAUCAAGAAUUAUUCAAAUCUUGAACUAUCAGAAUUGUGAUUUAUUGAUACGCUCAGUUUAGUAAAUAUUUCUAGUCUUUUUUUAGUGCUCAGAAGCAAUUAGCCUAUGUCAUUUCCUUAAAUUGUGCCAUUAAUAUUUAUACACAGUUUUUCGAAAUCUGAUGUUUUUUGAUUAUAACAGCUUUUUACAUUUUUUGUUUAAACGGCAAGCAAGGCUAAGACAAUAAAAUACCUAUAGAGAA
This is a long non-coding RNA of Cydia fagiglandana, 4585 nucleotides long. RefSeq lists it as uncharacterized. Lineage: Eukaryota; Metazoa; Arthropoda; Insecta; Lepidoptera; Tortricidae. The record is from RefSeq and is a predicted model, not a curated record. The transcript has 2 exons.